Molecule: ribosomal RNA, 301 nt
Filed under: uncultured bacterium
Lineage: Bacteria
Description: partial 16S ribosomal RNA
Rfam family: Bacterial small subunit ribosomal RNA
Source: RNAcentral
CAGUAGCCACGGGAAUACGGAGGGGGCUAGCGUUGUUCGGAAUUACUGGGCGUAAAGCGCACGUAGGCGGCUUGGUAAGUUAGAGGUGAAAGCCCGGGGCUCAACCCCGGAAUUGCCUUUAAGACUGCCGAGCUAGUAGGUGAGAGAGGUGAGUGGAAUUCCGAGUGUAGAGGUGAAAUUCGUUGAUAUUCGGAAGAACACCAGUGGCGAAGGCGGCCCGCUGGACAUGUAUUGACGCUGAGGUGCGAAAGCGUGGGGAGCAAACAGGAUUAGAUACCCCUGUAGUCCCUGUCUCUUAUAC